This is a non-coding RNA of Pelobates cultripes (western spadefoot toad), 590 nucleotides long. NCBI's taxonomy places the organism in Eukaryota, Metazoa, Chordata, Amphibia, Anura, Pelobatidae. The record is from the annotation of a GenBank genome assembly.
AUUACCAAUCUCUUCCUUUGCAUCUUGCUUAUAUGCCAAAGCAGUGAAUAUAGACUGCUUAUUCUUCCAUAAUCCCAACAUUUCAGCUUCCACCUUGUUCCAAAUUUUAGCACAUCUUACUGAAGUACUAAACUCAUAAUCACCAAUUCAUUUCAAACCAUAUAACUCAUACUCAGCAUCCAAUGUAAUAUUACACGUCAUCUCACAAAACAAUAUCUUUGUAGAAACACAUAAUGGGUACCCAGCAGAUAUGCCAAUACAGAAAUGACAUUUAUGGGCACACAACUACACACUCUGUCUCCCUCCUAGGAAACACGGAUAGACACAAUAUAAAAGCAAUCUUAAACUAACACCUCCAAAUCUCCAACUAUUCUUGGCCAAAACGCUAGUAUUCAACAACUAAUAAAACAAUUAUUUGCUAGGUUAUUUGGCUGUCAUUCUUAUCAGUAUCACUAGACUGUGACAAACUGAUUCACAUAUAAUUUAAAACAAUACAGCAACAUAUAAAUUAAACUACUUUCAAGUUAAACUGCACACUUAUCACACAUUAUCACAGUCACCAUUUACACAGAAUAAACAGUUAACAGCUG